Anser brachyrhynchus (Pink-footed goose) is the source of this 280-nucleotide long non-coding RNA. NCBI's taxonomy places the organism in Eukaryota, Metazoa, Chordata, Aves, Anseriformes, Anatidae. The record is from Ensembl.
UCCAGAGCCCCACCUGCUGUGAUUCUGGUUGAGAUUCUUCUUCACCCAUUGGACAAGGAAGCUACUUCAGGAAGGAAACCAGCACAUGUCACCAGAAGAGAUGACUGCAUCAGUUUCUGCCUCAUUGGCAUGACAUUUCUUUUUUGUAUGCCACUUCAGGGUGAGGAUUUUACUGAAUCAGGAGUCCCACUGCAAUCUGUAAGUUGUUGUUCAGUGUCUGUAGAACAAUCUGAUCUUCCCUGCUUCUGAGGGUUGUACAAAAGACAGGUAAAUGUCCAGA